Molecule: ribosomal RNA, 257 nt
Filed under: uncultured bacterium
Lineage: Bacteria
Description: partial 16S ribosomal RNA
Rfam family: Bacterial small subunit ribosomal RNA
Source: RNAcentral
UAGUGAGUUUGUAUCCUGGCUCAGAAUGAACGCUGGCGGCAGGCCUAACACAUGCAAGUCGAACGGGGCAUCUUCGGGUGCUAGUGGCGGACGGGUGAGUAACGCGUGAGAAUCUGUCUUCAGGUCUGGGACAACACGUUGGAAACGACUGGCUAAUACCGGGAUGUGCCGUGAGGUGUAAAGAUAAAUUGCCAGAAGAAGAGCUCGCGUCUGAUUAGCUAGUUGGAGAGGUAAACGGCUCACCAAGGCAUCGAUCA